UACGAAGGGGGCUAGCGUUGUUCGGAAUUACUGGGCGUAAAGCGCGCGCAGGCGGCUAUCCAAGUCAGCGGUGAAAGCCCCGGGCUCAACCUGGGAAUGGCAUUGGAAACUGGCUUGCUGGAGUGUGGCAGAGGGGGGUGGAAUUCCGCGUGUAGCAGUGAAAUGCGUAGAGAUGCGGAGGAACACCGAUGGCGAAGGCAGCCCCCUGGGCCAACACUGACGCUCAGGCACGAAAGCGUGGGGAGCAAACAGG
RNAcentral lists this ribosomal RNA (253 nucleotides) under uncultured bacterium. Its description in RNAcentral is "partial 16S ribosomal RNA". It matches the Rfam family "Bacterial small subunit ribosomal RNA", at positions 524 to 776 of the family's 1533-position model. The record is from RNAcentral.